GACUAUCAGCCACUGGUGUCGGCCCUCGACGCUCGUGUUACUCCUGCAACCCUCGACGAGCUCUUCGCCAUGCUGUCGAACUUCGACCAGCGCAUGGCACAGUUCCAUGGAUCCGGCGGCGGUUUCAAAUCUUCCGCAAACCUGGCAUCACGCGGCAGGGGUGGUGGCUCCCGCUCACGUGGCUCCCCGCGCUACAAAGGGCGAUCCUGGUGGCGGCGGCAACGGUCACGGCCACUCUCCUCAGCGCUCGGGUGGCCGAGGUCGCGGGCGCGGGCGCGGUGGUGGAACCAGAACGCGUCCAGAGACUCCGCGGUGCCAAAUAUGCGGGAAGCCCGGUCACACAUCAAAGGAUUGCUGGUACCGUUAUGA
This 369-nucleotide ribosomal RNA is filed under the name Triticum aestivum (bread wheat). RNAcentral's name for it is "partial small subunit ribosomal RNA". The record is from RNAcentral. Lineage: Eukaryota; Viridiplantae; Streptophyta; Magnoliopsida; Poales; Poaceae.